AGCUUUCCGAGUGUGUGCAGAGAUUUUGUCAAACACCAGCCCAUUAGGGCUGAUCAGACUUCCAAAAUAAGCAAAGUU
This 78-nucleotide microRNA precursor is filed under the name Schistosoma mansoni. RNAcentral describes it as "mir-3492 microRNA precursor family". It matches the Rfam family "mir-3492 microRNA precursor family". The record is from Rfam by way of RNAcentral. Lineage: Eukaryota; Metazoa; Platyhelminthes; Trematoda; Strigeidida; Schistosomatidae.